UACGUAGGGUGCGAGCGUUGUCCGGAAUUAUUGGGCGUAAAGGGUUCGUAGGCGGUCUGUUGCGUCAGGAGUGAAAACUCGGGGCUUAACCCCGAGCCUGCUUCUGAUACGGGCAGACUAGAGGUAUGCAGGGGAGAACGGAAUUCCUGGUGUAGCGGUGAAAUGCGCAGAUAUCAGGAGGAACACCGGUGGCGAAGGCGGUUCUCUGGGCAUUACCUGACGCUGAGGAGCGAAAGUGUGGGGAGCGAACAGG
Molecule: ribosomal RNA, 253 nt
Filed under: uncultured bacterium
Lineage: Bacteria
Description: partial 16S ribosomal RNA
Rfam family: Bacterial small subunit ribosomal RNA
Source: RNAcentral